Molecule: non-coding RNA, 73 nt
Organism: Ornithorhynchus anatinus (platypus)
Lineage: Eukaryota; Metazoa; Chordata; Mammalia; Monotremata; Ornithorhynchidae
Source: Rfam
AGCAGUGUGGCUUAGUGGAUAGAGCACAGGCCUGGGAGACAGAAGGACCUGGGUUCUAAUCCCAGCUUUGUCA